GAUGAACGCUGGCGGCGUGCCUAAUACAUGCAAGUCGAGCGAACAGACGAGAGUGCUUGCACUCUCUGCCGUUAGCGGCGGACGGGUGAGUAACACGUGGGUAACCUACCUAUAAGACUGGGAUAACUUCGGGAAACCGGAGCUAAUACCGGAUAAUAUUUAGCUUCGCAUGAAGCAAUAGUGAAAGACGGUUCUGCUGUCACUUAUAGAUGGACCCGCGGUGUAUUAGCUAGUUGGUGAGGUAACGGCUCACCAAGGCAACGAUACAUAGCCGACCUGAGAGGGUGAUCGGCCACACUGGGACUGAGACACGGCCCAGACUCCUACGGGAGGCAGCAGUAGGGAAUCUUCCGCAAUGGACGAAAGUCUGACGGAGCAAUGCCGCGUGAGUGAAGAAGGUGUUCGGAUCGUAAAACUCUGUUGUAAGGGAAGAACAAGUACGUUAGUAACUGAACGUACCUUGACGGUACCUUACCAGAAAGCCACGGCUAACUACGUG
RNAcentral lists this ribosomal RNA (499 nucleotides) under uncultured bacterium. Its description in RNAcentral is "partial 16S ribosomal RNA". It matches the Rfam family "Bacterial small subunit ribosomal RNA", at positions 28 to 507 of the family's 1533-position model. The record is from RNAcentral.